Molecule: ribosomal RNA, 383 nt
Filed under: uncultured eukaryote
Lineage: Eukaryota
Description: partial 18S ribosomal RNA
Rfam family: Eukaryotic small subunit ribosomal RNA
Source: RNAcentral
CAAUAGCGUAUAUUAAAGUUGUUGCAGUUAAAAAGCUCGUAGUUGGAUUUCUGGUAGGAGCGACCGUGCCGAACUUGAUUGUUCGAGUAUUGUGUUGUCUUCAGCCAUCCUCGUGGAGAACUUUUCUAACAUUAACUUGUUGGGAUUGGGACCCGCGUCGUUUACUGUGAAAAAAUUAGAGUGUUUAAAGCAGGCAUUAGCUUGAAUACAUUAGCAUGGAAUAAUAAGAUAGGACUUUGGUACUAUUUUGUUGGUUUGCAUACCAAAUUAAUGAUCAACAGGAACAGUUUGAGGAUAUUCGUAUGAACAUGUCAGAGGUGAAAUUCUUGGAUUUUGAUCAGACGAACUACUGCGAAAGCAUUUAUCAAGGAUGUUUUCAUUGA